AGUCGGCCCCCGCGGUGCAUUAGCUAGUUGUAAGGUAAAAGGCUUACCAAGGCGAUGAUGCAUAGCCGAGUUGAGAGACUGAUCGGCCACAUUGGGGACUGAGACACGGCCCAAACUCCUACGGGGAGGCAGCAGUAGGGAAUCUUCCACAAUGGACGCAAGUCUGAUGGAGCAACGCCGCGUGAGUGAAGAAGGUUUUCGGAUCGUAAAAGCUCUGUUGUUGGUGAAGAAGGAUAGAGGUAGUAACUGGCCUUUAUUUGACGGUAAUCAACCAGAAAGUCACGGCUAACUACGUGCCAGCAGCCGCGGUAAU
RNAcentral lists this ribosomal RNA (313 nucleotides) under uncultured Lactobacillus sp. RNAcentral describes it as "bacterial SSU rRNA". It matches the Rfam family "Bacterial small subunit ribosomal RNA", at positions 222 to 524 of the family's 1533-position model. Lineage: Bacteria; Bacillati; Bacillota; Bacilli; Lactobacillales; Lactobacillaceae. The record is from RNAcentral.